RNAcentral lists this long non-coding RNA (259 nucleotides) under Marmota monax (woodchuck). Lineage: Eukaryota; Metazoa; Chordata; Mammalia; Rodentia; Sciuridae. The record is from RNAcentral.
AGGAGAGGAAAAUUACUGGGUAGAGCAAGAGGAGAAACUUUCCAAAGUAGAAGAUCAGCCAUACAACUAAACCGCUGGAGACCUAUAGAAAGUGAGCCAAAGAUCUUGAAGAAGAAUUGGAGAGAACCAUUCGUUUUUAUCAGGGGCAUAUUAUGUACUAUGAGAAAAAAGCACAUGGUAAUGAGUUGGCAGCUCAGAGUGCUGAAAAAUACCUCAAUGAUUUACGGAAACAAAAUGCUCACCCCAGACAAAAAUUAAC